This 492-nucleotide ribosomal RNA is filed under the name uncultured bacterium. RNAcentral's name for it is "partial 16S ribosomal RNA". It matches the Rfam family "Bacterial small subunit ribosomal RNA", at positions 29 to 507 of the family's 1533-position model. The record is from RNAcentral.
AGUGAACGCUGGCGGUAGGCCUAACACAUGCAAGUCGAACGGCAGCACAGUAAGAGCUUGCUCUUACGGGUGGCGAGUGGCGGACGGGUGAGGAAUACAUCGGAAUCUACUUUUUCGUGGGGGAUAACGUAGGGAAACUUACGCUAAUACCGCAUACGACCUACGGGUGAAAGCAGUGGAUCUUCUGACCUUGCGCGAUUGAAUGAGCCGAUGUCGGAUUAGCUAGUUGGCGGGGUAAAGGCCCACCAAGGCGACGAUCCGUAGCUGGUCUGAGAGGAUGAUAAGCCACACUGGAACUGAGACACGGUCCAGACUCCUACGGGAGGCAGCAGUGGGGAAUAUUGGACAAUGGGCGCAAGCCUGAUCCAGCCAUACCGAGUGGGUGAAGAAGGCCUUCGGGUUGUAAAGCCCUUUUGUUGGGAAAGAAAAGCAGCAGGUUAAUACCCCGCUGUUCUGACGGUACCCAAAGAAUAAGCACCGGCUAACUUCGUG